GCCACGUGGGUGGCUGAGCCGUUUAGUCCCGGUUGGUGAUCGAUCUUUAGUCCCGGUUAUUUCACCCGCGGAUUCGUAGUCCCGGUUGGACAACCGGGACUAAAGGGGUUACCAACCGGGAGUACAAACGGUUUCUCCACCAGUGAG
Molecule: unclassified non-coding RNA, 147 nt
Filed under: Oryza sativa (Asian cultivated rice)
Lineage: Eukaryota; Viridiplantae; Streptophyta; Magnoliopsida; Poales; Poaceae
Description: partial microRNA MIR462a precursor
Source: RNAcentral